Molecule: ribosomal RNA, 464 nt
Filed under: uncultured Helicobacteraceae bacterium
Lineage: Bacteria; Pseudomonadati; Campylobacterota; Epsilonproteobacteria; Campylobacterales; Helicobacteraceae
Description: bacterial SSU rRNA
Rfam family: Bacterial small subunit ribosomal RNA
Source: RNAcentral
AGUGAACGCUGGCGGCGUGCUUAACACAUGCAAGUCGAACGAGAACGGCUCUAGCUUGCUAGAGUGUCAGCUAAGUGGCGGACGGGUUAGUAAAGCAUAGGUAACGUGCCCUUUAGAGUGGGAUAACAGUUGGAAACGGCUGCUAAUACCGCAUAUGCCCUUAAUACAUAAGUAUGCAGGGGAAAUGGAUUCUGCUAAAGGAUCGGCCUAUGUCCUAUCAGGUAGUUGGAGAGGUAAGAGCUCCCCAAGCCGAUGACGGGUAGCUGGUUUGAGAGGAUGAUCAGCAACACUGGAACUGAGACACGGUCCAGACUCCUACGGGAGGCAGCAGUGGGGAAUAUUGCACAAUGGAGGAAACUCUGAUGCAGCAACGCCGCGUGGGGGAUGACGCAUUUCGGUGUGUAAACUCCUUUUAUUAGGGAAGAUAAUGACGGUACCUAAUGAAUAAGCACCGGCUAACUCCG